Molecule: ribosomal RNA, 468 nt
Filed under: uncultured bacterium
Lineage: Bacteria
Description: partial 16S ribosomal RNA
Rfam family: Bacterial small subunit ribosomal RNA
Source: RNAcentral
GACGAACGCUGGCGGCGUGCUUAACACAUGCAAGUCGAACGGAAAGGCCCUGCUUUUGUGGGGUGCUCGAGUGGCGAACGGGUGAGUAACACGUGAGUAACCUGCCCUUGACUUUGGGAUAACUUCAGGAAACUGGGGCUAAUACCGGAUAGGAGCUCCUGCUGCAUGGUGGGGGUUGGAAAGUUUCGGCGGUUCGGGAUGGACUCGCGGCUUAUCAGCUUGUUGGUGGGGUAGUGGCUUACCAAGGCUUUGACGGGUAGCCGGCCUGAGAGGGUGACCGGCCACAUUGGGACUGAGAGACGGCCCAGACUCCUACGGGAGGCAGCAGUGGGGAGUAUUGCACAAUGGGCGGAAGCCUGAUGCAGCAACGCCGCGUGCGGGAUGACGGCCUUCGGGUUGUAAACCGCUUUCGCCUGUGACGAAGCGUGAGUGACGGUAAUGGGUAAAGAAGCACCGGCUAACUACGUG